Molecule: transfer RNA, 73 nt
Filed under: candidate division WOR-1 bacterium RIFOXYA12_FULL_52_29
Lineage: Bacteria; Bacillati
Also listed under: 5 other names
Description: tRNA-Thr
Rfam family: tRNA
About the family: Transfer RNA (tRNA) molecules are approximately 80 nucleotides in length.
Source: RNAcentral
GCCGACGUAGCUCAGCUGGUAGAGCAACUGAUUUGUAAUCAGUAGGUCGCCAGUUCAACUCUGGCCGUCGGCU